ACAUACCGAGUCGGCGUGUUCGCCGCAAACCCUCAUUCUCACUUGCCCGAAAUCUGUCUGCGGUAGCGAUAGUUUUAGAGAGGGAAAGCGUAGAGAGAUUUAGGUAGAGAGAAUAGGCAUGGAUUCGGAUCAGGGAAAGCUAUUCAUCGGUGGGAUUUCAUGGGAGACCACCGAGGAGAAGCUGAAGGACCACUUCGAGAUCUACGGCGAGGUUUUGCAGACCGUCGUGAUGCGAGACAAGCUUAAUGGCCGCCCCAGGGGUUUUGGCUUCGUGGUCUUUGCAGAUCCUUCCAUCCUUGAUAGGGUUCUUCAGGACCAGCACGUUAUAGAUGGUCGAACGGUCGAGGCCAAGAGAGCAUUAUCAAGAGAAGAACAGCAGACUUCUUCCAGGGCUGGAAACAGUAACAAUGCUAGAAACUUUGGUGGUAGUGGAAAUUUUAGAACCAAGAAAAUUUUUGUUGGAGGCUUGCCACCUAGUUUAAGUGAGGAUGGAUUCCGUCAGUAUUUUGAGGCUUACGGUAGUGUAACUGAUGUAGUAAUCAUGUAUGAUCAGCAUACCCAGCGGCCCCGUGGAUUUGGAUUUAUUUCCUUUGAUAGUGAGGAUGCGGUUGAUAGGGUUUUGCAUAAGACAUUUCAUGACUUAAAUGGUAAACAGGUGGAAGUGAAGCGUGCUCUUCCUAAAGAUGCAAAUCCUGGUGCUGGUGGUCGUUCCAUGGGUGGUGGUGUAAGUGGCGGUUCUGGUGGUGGUGGUGGUGGUUAUCAGGGUUAUGGUGCAGCUGGUGGCAAUUCAGGUUCUUAUGAUGGCCGAAUGGAUUCCAACAGGUACAUGCAGUCUCAAAAUACUGGAGGCGGGUAUCCGGCUUAUGGUUCUUCAGGAUAUAAUGCUCCUGGUUAUGGAUAUGCUCCUACCAACAACAGCAUGGGUUAUGGUGGUUAUGGGGGUUAUGGUGGUGCCAAUUCUGGGUAUGGAGGCCCUGCUGGUGUUGCCUAUGGGAACCCAAAUAUGCCCAGUGCUGGCUAUGGAAGUGGUCCACCAGGUGCCCCACGAAGUUCAUGGAGUUCUCAGGCCCCCUCUGCUUAUGGUGCUAUGGGUUAUGGGAAUGCUGCUUCUUGGGGUCCUGCAGGUGGUGGUGGUCAUGGUAGUGGUGGGCCUGGUUCUGCAUCCUCAGGUCAAUCUCCAGGUGGAGCUGCGGGAUAUGGCAACCAGGGUUAUGGUUAUGGUGGAUAUAGUGGAGCUGACGGGUCUUAUUCAAAUCAAGCUGCUUAUGGUGUUGGAGGUCGUGCUGGAAAUGUUCCAAGUAACAAUGCUCCUGUUGGUGGGGGCGCUGGUGGCGGAGAGCUACAAGGCAGUGGCGGGGGCUAUAUGGGAGGUAGCUAUGGUGAUGCCAAUGGUAAUUCAGGGUAUGGAAAUCAAGGAUGGAGGUCUGAUCCAUCCCAAACACCUGGAAGUUAUGGGGCUCAAGGAAAUGGACCUCAUGGUGGGCAAGCUGGGUAUGGUGCUGGAUAUGGUGGGGCCACUCGACAGGCUCAACAGCAGUGAUUUGACGUCUUUAUUCUGUCUGGAACGUGUCUUCUUUGCUCCAAGUACAUUCAAUCACUCCUUUUCCCGUUCAGCAUGCAGGAGCAGUGUCUCUGGUUGGAUGUCAUCCAGGCAAUGGGACUGGAGGGAUGCUCGAGUUCUAGAAGUGGAGCCAACUGUCCACUCAGCUGAACACGAGCUUCAUGAUGGGGGUGAGUUUUAACAUGGAAGGGGACUUGGAAAUUGCUGGUUGGCCUAAUGGAUUUGCCUGAGAUUCUCAUGCGGAACCAGGCCAUGCUGGUGCCAUCAUUUUUGCAGACCAUGACAUUUCAAGUUUGGAAUCUCACAAAUACACCAUUCAAGAGGUUGUGAGCUGGUGGAUUAUUGAAAGCUGAACAACCUGCGGUAUGGUGACUGGUGCAGUUGGGCAAAUUUUCACUUCAAAUUUCAUUCAGACCCUAAUUUUUCUGAGAUCAUUAGUUCUAUAGAGACUUAGCGGUAGGUCAUUGGUUACAGAACUUGACAGUGAUGCCCAUAUUAGUAUUUAAGCCCGCUGACUAAAAUCCUAAUAGGUUGCUGCUUGGUAAAGAAUUUGCCAGAAUAAUGAAUGCAUUUACUAAUUGGUUUUAUUUUAUUUUAUUUUUUGAAGUGCAA
Diospyros lotus (date-plum) is the source of this 2173-nucleotide RNA transcript. It is a transcript of the gene named heterogeneous nuclear ribonucleoprotein 1-like, with no coding region annotated. NCBI's taxonomy places the organism in Eukaryota, Viridiplantae, Streptophyta, Magnoliopsida, Ericales, Ebenaceae. The transcript has 3 exons. The record is from RefSeq and is a predicted model, not a curated record.